AGGUGGUCUGUGCGAUACCCCCCGCGCCGCCCCAGCGCCUGCUUUGGUGGUGGAACUCCUGCAUCACAAGGAGAUGUAUUUAACGCCGUUAAAACUAAUUGCUCGCUUUGCUGCAGAGUAAAGUGACUCCGGGGAGAGAUUUCAUGUAGGAAAGAUCUGAAGCCUUUGGCCCAAAUGGGAUAACCAUGCCAAAAGAACUUGGCCCCAACGUGCAAAACACGGGAAAACUGCGGAAAUUCAUCACCAGUUUAUUAAAGGGCCUAAGGGUGAGUUUGUAUGUGCUCUCUGCGUGUGUGUGUUUAUGGCAGGAGAAAGAAGAUUAAGAGACCUGAACAGCUGCAGGUAAGGACAAAAAAUUCUUAAUAAGCAAGAACUGAUUUCUACUCACAGCACUUAGCUCCAGCUUCAGGCUGUGGUGUAAUUCAUGUGGCUCGGGGGGGGG
Molecule: long non-coding RNA, 442 nt
Organism: Strigops habroptila (Kakapo)
Lineage: Eukaryota; Metazoa; Chordata; Aves; Psittaciformes; Psittacidae
Exons: 2
Source: RefSeq, a predicted model, not a curated record